RNAcentral lists this ribosomal RNA (497 nucleotides) under uncultured bacterium. Its description in RNAcentral is "partial 16S ribosomal RNA". It matches the Rfam family "Bacterial small subunit ribosomal RNA", at positions 28 to 507 of the family's 1533-position model. The record is from RNAcentral.
GAUGAACGCUGGCGGCGUGCCUAAUACAUGCAAGUCGAGCGAACGGACGAUAAGCUUGCUUCUCUGUUGUUAGCGGCGGACGUGUGAGUAACACGUGUAUAACCUACCUAUAAUACUGGGAUAACUUCGGGAAACCGGAGCUAAUACCGGAUAAUAUUUUGAACCGCAUGGUUCAAAAGUGAAAGACGGUCUUGCUGUCACUUAUAGAUGGAUCCGCGCUGCAUUAGCUAGUUGGUAAGGUAACGGCUUACCAAGGCAACGAUGCAUAGCCGACCUGAGAGGGUGAUCGGCCACACUGGAACUGAGACACGGUCCAGACUCCUACGGGAGGCAGCAGUAGGGAAUCUUCCGCAAUGGGCGAAAGCCUGACGGAGCAACGGCGCGUGAGUGAUGAAGGUCUUCGGAUCGUAAAACUCUGUUAUUAGGGAAGAACAUAUGUGUAAGGAACUGUGCACAUCUUGACGGUAACUAAUCAGAAAGCAACGGCUAACUACGUG